Molecule: ribosomal RNA, 253 nt
Filed under: uncultured bacterium
Lineage: Bacteria
Description: partial 16S ribosomal RNA
Rfam family: Bacterial small subunit ribosomal RNA
Source: RNAcentral
GACAGAGGGUGCAAACGUUGCUCGGAAUUACUGGGCGUAAAGCGCGUGUAGGCGGAUCGGAAAGUCGGGCGUGAAAGCCCCAGGCUCAACCUGGGAACUGCACCCGAAACUCCCGGUCUUGAGUGGUGGAGAGGGAAGUGGAAUUCCUGGUGUAGAGGUGAAAUUCGUAGAUAUCAGGAGGAACACCAGUGGCGAAGGCGGCUUCCUGGACACCAACUGACGCUGAGACGCGAAAGUGUGGGGAGCAAACAGG